Molecule: unclassified non-coding RNA, 298 nt
Filed under: Auriculariales sp.
Lineage: Eukaryota; Fungi; Basidiomycota; Agaricomycetes; Auriculariales
Description: partial contains 5.8S ribosomal RNA, internal transcribed spacer 2, and large subunit ribosomal RNA
Rfam family: 5.8S ribosomal RNA (bases 1-71)
Source: RNAcentral
GUGAAUCAUCGAAUCUUUGAACGCACCUUGCACCCCACGGUUUUCCGUGGGGUACGCCCGUUCGAGUGUCACGUUAACCAUCGCUGAGAGGCUUGCCUCCAAAGCGGACUUGGACGCUGCUGGCGAAAGUCGGCUCGUCUCGAAAUGCAUUAGCAGAGUGCUCUAAGGCACGGCGUUGAUAACCUCCACGUCGCUCCGAAGGUGCCCCGCCUCCAAUCGUCUUCGGACAAUAUUUCUAGUUUGACCUCGAAUCGGGUGGGACUACCCGCUGAACUUAAGCAUAUCAAUAAGCGGAGGA